CUAUCAUUAACUGAAUCCAUAGGUUAAUGAGGCGAACCGGGGGAACUGAAACAUCUAAGUACCCCGAGGAAAAGAAAUCAACCGAGAUUCCCCCAGUAGCGGCGAGCGAACGGGGAGCAGCCCAGAGCCUGAAUCAGUGUGUGUGUUAGUGGAAGCGUCUGGAAAGGCGCGCGAUACAGGGUGACAGCCCCGUACACAAAAAUGCACAUGCUGUGAGCUCGAUGAGUAGGGCGGGACACGUGGUAUCCUGUCUGAAUAUGGGGGGACCAUCCUCCAAGGCUAAAUACUCCUGACUGACCGAUAGUGAACCAGUACCGUGAGGGAAAGGCGAAAAGAACCCCGGCGAGGGGAGUGAAAAAGAACCUGAAACCGUGUACGUACAAGCAGUGGGAGCACGCUUAGGCGUGUGACUGCGUACCUUUUGUAUAAUGGGUCAGCGACUUAUAUUCUGUAGCAAGGUUAACCGAAUAGGGGAGCCGAAGGGAAACCGAGUCUUAACUGGGCGUUAAGUUGCAGGGUAUAGACCCGAAACCCGGUGAUCUAGCCAUGGGCAGGUUGAAGGUUGGGUAACACUAACUGGAGGACCGAACCGACUAAUGUUGAAAAAUUAGCGGAUGACUUGUGGCUGGGGGUGAAAGGCCAAUCAAACCGGGAGAUAGCUGGUUCUCCCCGAAAGCUAUUUAGGUAGCGCCUCGUGAACUCAUCUCCGGGGGUAGAGCACUGUUUCGGCAAGGGGGUCAUCCCGACUUACCAACCCGAUGCAAACUGCGAAUACCGGAGAAUGUUAUCACGGGAGACACACGGCGGGUGCUAACGUCCGUCGUGAAGAGGGAAACAACCCAGACCGCCAGCUAAGGUCCCAAAGUCAUGGUUAAGUGGGAAACGAUGUGGGAAGGCCCAGACAGCCAGGAUGUUGGCUUAGAAGCAGCCAUCAUUUAAAGAAAGCGUAAUAGCUCACUGGUCGAGUCGGCCUGCGCGGAAGAUGUAACGGGGCUAAACCAUGCACCGAAGCUGCGGCAGCGACGCUUAUGCGUUGUUGGGUAGGGGAGCGUUCUGUAAGCCUGUGAAGGUGUGCUGUGAGGCAUGCUGGAGGUAUCAGAAGUGCGAAUGCUGACAUAAGUAACGAUAAAGCGGGUGAAAAGCCCGCUCGCCGGAAGACCAAGGGUUCCUGUCCAACGUUAAUCGGGGCAGGGUGAGUCGACCCCUAAGGCGAGGCCGAAAGGCGUAGUCGAUGGGAAACAGGUUAAUAUUCCUGUACUUGGUGUUACUGCGAAGGGGGGACGGAGAAGGCUAUGUUGGCCGGGCGACGGUUGUCCCGGUUUAAGCGUGUAGGCUGGUUUUCCAGGCAAAUCCGGAAAAUCAAGGCUGAGGCGUGAUGACGAGGCACUACGGUGCUGAAGCAACAAAUGCCCUGCUUCCAGGAAAAGCCUCUAAGCAUCAGGUAACAUCAAAUCGUACCCCAAACCGACACAGGUGGUCAGGUAGAGAAUACCAAGGCGCUUGAGAGAACUCGGGUGAAGGAACUAGGCAAAAUGGUGCCGUAACUUCGGGAGAAGGCACGCUGAUAUGUAGGUGAAGUCCCUCGCGGAUGGAGCUGAAAUCAGUCGAAGAUACCAGCUGGCUGCAACUGUUUAUUAAAAACACAGCACUGUGCAAACACGAAAGUGGACGUAUACGGUGUGACGCCUGCCCGGUGCCGGAAGGUUAAUUGAUGGGGUCAGCGCAAGCGAAGCUCUUGAUCGAAGCCCCGGUAAACGGCGGCCGUAACUAUAACGGUCCUAAGGUAGCGAAAUUCCUUGUCGGGUAAGUUCCGACCUGCACGAAUGGCGUAAUGAUGGCCAGGCUGUCUCCACCCGAGACUCAGUGAAAUUGAACUCGCUGUGAAGAUGCAGUGUACCCGCGGCAAGACGGAAAGACCCCGUGAACCUUUACUAUAGCUUGACACUGAACAUUGAGCCUUGAUGUGUAGGAUAGGUGGGAGGCUUAGAAGUGUGGACGCCAGUCUGCAUGGAGCCGACCUUGAAAUACCACCCUUUAAUGUUUGAUGUUCUAACGUUGACCCGUAAUCCGGGUUGCGGACAGUGUCUGGUGGGUAGUUUGACUGGGGCGGUCUCCUCCUAAAGAGUAACGGAGGAGCACGAAGGUUGGCUAAUCCUGGUCGGACAUCAGGAGGUUAGUGCAAUGGCAUAAGCCAGCUUGACUGCGAGCGUGACGGCGCGAGCAGGUGCGAAAGCAGGUCAUAGUGAUCCGGUGGUUCUGAAUGGAAGGGCCAUCGCUCAACGGAUAAAAGGUACUCCGGGGAUAACAGGCUGAUACCGCCCAAGAGUUCAUAUCGACGGCGGUGUUUGGCACCUCGAUGUCGGCUCAUCACAUCCUGGGGCUGAAGUAGGUCCCAAGGGUAUGGCUGUUCGCCAUUUAAAGUGGUACGCGAGCUGGGUUUAGAACGUCGUGAGACAGUUCGGUCCCUAUCUGCCGUGGGCGCUGGAGAACUGAGGGGGGCUGCUCCUAGUACGAGAGGACCGGAGUGGACGCAUCACUGGUGUUCGGGUUGUCAUGCCAAUGGCACUGCCCGGUAGCUAAAUGCGGAAGAGAUAAGUGCUGAAAGCAUCUAAGCACGAAACUUGCCCCGAGAUGAGUUCUCCCUGACUCCUUGAGAGUCCUGAAGGAACGUUGAAGACGACGACGUUGAUAGGCCGGGUGUGUAAGCGCAGCGAUGCGUUGAGCUAACCGGUACUAAUGAACCGUGAGGCUUAACCUUACAACGCCGAAGCUGUU
Molecule: ribosomal RNA, 2775 nt
Filed under: Escherichia coli
Lineage: Bacteria; Pseudomonadati; Pseudomonadota; Gammaproteobacteria; Enterobacterales; Enterobacteriaceae
Description: partial 23S ribosomal RNA
Rfam family: Bacterial large subunit ribosomal RNA
Source: RNAcentral